GUGGGGCUCAAACUCACAGACUGCGAGAUCAUGACCUGAGCCGAAGUCGGACACUCAACCGACUGAGCCACCCAGGCACCCCGAGAAGCACCGUCUUAGAUCACACCUGCCUCAGGGAUGUUGGGAAGCUCAUGAGAGGCUGGCAGUUUCAGACAAUAGCUCCAGCCCUCCUAAGCCUGAAGCCAACCUUGCCUUCAAGUUGCUCACCUUUGCUCAGAUUCAGGACAGCCGGAGUCUCAGAAGAACAGACAGCGCCGAAAGAGGAAAAUGGAGAAACGAGUGAGAUGGGAACAGCCCCCAAAGCUGUCAUGUGCUGUGCCCCUAUCAUGUGCCAGACAUUGGCCUGAGCACCUUCCGUACAUUAACUUACCUGGGCCACAGUUCACACACUAGCACUGAGACGCCUCUGCUGAUAUUACCCCCAUUCCACAGAUGAGAAGACUCAAAUAGAUAAGCAACCUGCUCAAACUGGUAGGGGCAGGGCUGGGAUUUCAAGGCAGAUUGCUGGCUCUGGAGGCUACUGUUUAACCACCAUGUCAGUUGCUUUGCAGAAUGAUCUGGGAACUGUGGUAUAUCGGUCCCAUGUGGCCAAGAGUCCCUUCAUGGUGAUGACGGGGCUAGAGGUAAUCUAUCACUCUGCUGCUCAAGAGCCUCUAUGAUUCCCCAUGGCUUCUGUAGAGGAAAGCCACACCAUCGGCCCAGCAUAGGAGGGCUGUCUUUACAGCCUGACCACUGGCAGGCCACUCUUUGUCACUCCAUGUCACACGUGAUGUUAAGACAUCUGAAAGUCCUCUCUCCUUUCUCUGCCUGGUAACCCCCUGACUCUUUAAUACCUAGCUCAAAUAUCCUCUUUCUAACUCGUGCAGCAAGAGUCAGUGCCGCCUUCCCCUUUGUUCCCAAAGCUCUUGGUCCCUCCAACUGUGACCACAUGGGUCACAGCCUUUCUCUCAGGACCCUCCAGUGGAUGCCAUCCUCUCCCAGGUCAGGCUAUGAUUUUGGCAGAGUCCCGAGCUCCUGUGGAGAUUUGCCUCUCGCCAGCCUUGGGCUAUCUGCAUUCUUAAACAUCUCAGGGCCCAGAAGAAUUUGACCAGCUCUGAGAAUGGCCUGAAUGAAGAGAGGUCCUUCUCCUCUUCCCACAUAAAUGGACUGCAGGGAAAAAGAAACUUCCUGGCCUGCCUGAUACCAUCUCUAAGGAGGCAGAGGAAACAAAACCCAUUGACAGUGAUAACCUCUCGCCAGACUUCUGUGUUAAUGGAGGGGCUGCAGCUGGCUGCAGGACGCGUUCAGAGGUGUUGGUUGGGUGUGAGUUCCCACAGAAGGGGAGCUAGAAUUCAGUGUGUGAGAACAGAAUGGGAACAGUGUGGUACUAGGAGAGGAGCCCAGGUUCGAGGGUUCUUGGGAUUUGGAGGUUCCAUCAGUGACUUACUGUGUCGCCACCAGAAAGCAAGUGACGCGUUCCGUCCUACAGUUUCUUCAUGGUGGCCAAGUGGAGUUCACAGGGCUUUCCCCACAGUUGAAAGGAGAUGCUGUGUAAUGAUCUUUGCUGGAGAUGAAGCUACAGAGAAUCACGGGAAGAACUUGACGGUUCUUUGGACAUCACCAAACUUGCUUGGGGACAUGAGCCCAGAGAGGUGACGUAUGAUCCACGGUCACACAGCUGCUGGGGAGUAAAACCAGGUCCUGGAACCAGCCUCAGUUUCCACCCUCCUUUUCCUUCGGCAUCCCGUGUCGCCACCUUUGUUCCCGACACCUGUUGCCUGAAGCACCCCGAUCUGUUUCAGCCCUGCCAGUUGACCUUCUACCCUAAGCUAAUCCCUCGGUGGCUUCAACAUGACCAGUAGCCUCUCACCACGUACUUUAGGCAUCCCACGGUUUCACGUGACAGGCUCUGGCUACAGGCCCCGUUCAUAUUGCUAAUUGGGUGGCCCAUGAUGGUAAAUCAUGACUGGGGGCCAGGAAUGUGGGUCCAGGUUUGCAGGGCUAAGGGGCAUGCGGUGCGGGAAAUGCAGCGUGAUGGUUACUUUCAUGUGACGACUUGGGUAGGCCAUGGUGUCUACGUAUAAAUAUGCAUACACACACAGGCCCCUGGUUCUUUUCUCUGGAGAGAUCGGAGUAGUCUGUGCAGUUAAAACAAGCCAGAUUUAGGGCCACAUCCAGGAACUGCCACUGCGUAGAGAAAAUUAUUAAUUGACCUCAUUGGGCCUCACUGUCUUUGUGGGUAAAACGGAAAUAAUAUUAAUAUCUGCCACGUGGGUGGCAAUAAAGACUAAACAGGACAGUAACUGUAAAGCACUUCACGUGCGGCCCGGCAAACAGCGCUCAGCAAAUAACGCUGUUUAUCGUGAGAUGUAUACUGUCUGCAAAAGCCACGUAGGUGCGUGAGUCAGUCUACUGGCUGUCCGACAAAUCACCCCAGAACUUUGGGGUUUAACACCAGGACUGUUUAUUUUUCGCGGUCUUGUGGGGUGCUUGAGCCCUGCAGGGUGGUUCUUCUGUUCCACUUGGAGUCAGUGUGGCUGCGUUCACGGGGGGAGCCCUGCGAGGCCGCGUGGCCAGAAGGCUUUACGUGGGGCCUCAGCCAGGACGACUGGGGCAGCAGCUGAGGCCUCUCGCUUACUCUGAGACCUUGUCAUCAUAGUCCAGACGGACCUUCUCUUCCAGUGUGGCAGCUGGACCCCCCCAAGUGCCUGGUGUAAAACCUGCCCGGCCUCCCUAGGGCAAGGCUCAGAACUGAGACGACAUCACUUCCAUCACAUUCUGCUGGUCAGGCGGUCACAGGUCAGCCCAGAUUCAGGGGCAGGAGAAAUGGAUUCUCACUUUGGAGGGGAAAAACAACACGCGUGUACAGAAACGGGAGGAAUUCUUGGCAAGCCUCACCGGACGCAGCCGACCCCGGGGCCUGAGUUGCUUUUAGAGUUUAUGACUCUCAGCGUCUACCGUUUAACCUCUUGGGUUAUCUGUCCUAAUCUAGUGAGAGAACUGCUACUCAGAGAUGUUAAGUAACCCAGCAGAGGUUACACAGCUAAGUGACACAGAGGAGCGUCCCAAGUGGUAAAGACCAUUUUCCAUCACUGCUGUCCUCCACGAGCCUGUGUCUGGAAUGGGACCUGUCUUUGCGCUCAUGAACAGGUUGGAUGGGUAAGAUACCUGGAGGUGUAGCAGCCAUCUUGCAAGCAUGAGGAGACAAGUCAACAGAAUGAAAUGCCAGAGCAGAUAAGAAAAAGUCUGGAUCUUUGAUAGCACGGUUGAGCUGUUCCACCAGCCCAAGACAGGAGUCUACAUCCAGACUUUCUGUUAUUGAAACAAUGGCCGCUUCUUUACGUCACUCCAAGUUGUCUUUCAUUUGCAGCGGAAAACGUUUCGAAUGGAUACACAGACUUCCGCCAAAGCACAGCCAGUGUCGGGCUGUGUUGGGCUAGUACGGUGGUUAAGAGCCCAAAUUCCAGAGCCAGAAGUCCCAGGUUCCAAUCUCGGCUCCACCGUUACUAGGUAUAGGGCCUGGGCAAGUCAUUUAGCUCUUCUGUGACUCACUGGCCUCGUCUGCAAAAUGCUCAGCAAAGGUGUGGACCCGAGGUUCCACAUUUUACCCAUGAGACAACACUGAGCUGAGUUAAUCCAAAAUCACGCAGCUCCAGCUAGAAGUGGGGGAGCUGAGAUCUGACUCCAUGUAAUCCCAGGCUCUGAGACCCUCGUUGCCACUGCACCAUGUCCAGCUGCCUACCGACAGCGUGGAGACCUUGGGUGCGGCUCCUGGAAUCAGGUUGCCUGGGUUCCUAUCCCAGCUCAACUGUCGAACGGCAUGAUGAUCCAAGGUGCCCAUCUCUGAUGGCUAAAAUGCGGCUCGGCUCAAAGGACCCCUCCCUGAGCUUCACCCGCUGGCCCCACAUCUGGAACAAUUCAAAUCCUCGUGGCCCCUGCUCUGAACGUUGAGGCCACCCUGUCCGCCGGUGACCACGGAUUUCAUUUCCCCCCGAUUGCAGGCGUGUGGGCAGUUACAAGUUGAAAAGCAGCAGCCGGCUUCAAAUACAUUUUCUUCAUGCCCUCUCUGAAGUUCUUCGUUUUUCCUUUGACACCCUAAUUCUGCCACGCUAUUCCAGCAUGCUGAGAAUAGACUUCUCAAUGCCCUGCGGCUCUCACGGACAGAAUAACAGGCUUCCAGGUCCCUACGCCCCAAGGAAGAGACUGACCAGGAACCCAUGAAGGCUGGGUUCAAUGAGACAAGUACAUCCUUGCAACUAAAGGUGCAGGAAGUCAGCCAGGACUUCCAGGCGUGGAGCCUGGUCACUUCUGUCUUGUUCAUGGCUUAGAACAGUGCCUGGAACAUGGUAAACGGUUCAUAAAUGUUGGGGAGGAUAAACAGUCCCCUCUUGUGAAUGUCACACUGCCUGCUGUCGUCAGAGGCUCUGGCUUCCUGUGUCUCUUAGACUGUGAUGCCAUGAUGCCAACAGGUGAGGUCCAAGCUCAGAGUGAGAGCACACAGCAGCCCUGCCUGGCCCUCCCCGUGUCCCCGGUCCUACCACAUUUCCUCUGCAUCACCUGUCCAAGCUUCUCAUCACUGAGUCUGCUGUUCCCCCUGUGCCCAGGGCUCUUCCCACCAUUGCCCCUAGCCCAGCCCUGUAAGGUGCAGGAAACCAGCCAACAGGACCCUGGCCCCAGCCACAUCUGGAUCUCCAGGCUCAAUCUCCAUCUAUACCGGGGAAUGUGAGAUUACAGUCUGCAGGCCAGAUCUGGUCAGUGGUCGGUUUUUGUAAGGACCUUGGACUGAGAAUGGUGUUUACAUUUCCAAAGGGUUGAAAAUUUUAAAAAGAAUGCACAACAGAGACUAUAUGGCUGAUGAAGCCCAAAACACUGACUCUCUGGUCCUUUAUGGAAAAGUCUUGCUGACUCCUGGCCCAGAAAGUCCUCUGAUACACUAGCCGGGAGGACCAACUGUGUGAACCAGGCCCCGUGUCAGGGCUUCAGGCUCGGAGUUAUUUCUUGCCACUUACCAACCCCGAGGCAGGUGGGGUUCUUGUCCCUUGUAGAGAUGGGGGAAACUGAGGCAUAAGAGGUUAAUUCACUUGCCUGAGAAUCUAAAUAAAUGGCACAGCCAGGAUUCAAACCCAGACAGGCAGGUUUUUUAAUCAUGGUGCCAUUUUUCUUCUGGACACUGCCUAGCACAAGCUUUAGGACUCGCCCAUACUCUGUCCCAUUCCGGACCCCUUGUCGCAGAGAUGAACUUCAGAAAACACCGCCCUCUGCCAGCAUGAGUUUCUGUCUUCCUCUGACCCACAGUCAGUGACCAGGUGUUUGGUACCCCCGCCUCCUCUCCCCUCCCGGCCACCCCCCAAGACAGUUCAUCUCCUGUGGGGCUGACAAGGCUAUGCUGCCUCUGUCUGCCCCACGCAGUGGCCUGGAACCCUAUUCUGUCCUGCUCCCUGAGUCCUGAUGCUUUUCCAUGAGCUGGGCCUGAAGUUGUUCCCACUGAGUCUCUCUUCCUGGGGGCAUCCCUGUGCCCUCUUGUCUCUGCUUCCUUCCACCCAUCUUGUCCCUCCCAUGAGGAACUGGAUCCAUGGCUUCGGGUCAAGAGUGCACACGGAGGUGCAGUUAACUCCUGGUACCGGGCCUGGACCCUUUGUAGCCCAAGGACUGCAGCUGAGAUCCUCCCCUCCUGGGAGAAAGAGGAGAAGCCCCUGGGUUCAGAGUAACAUGGAGGACAGCCCAGAGGUGGUGUUGCAACCCAGGGGAAACAUUGCACUUCAGGGCUGUGCAGGUGGAGUGGUGCCUUGCGAUCAACAGUGUAAGCACAGGGGCACAGGAGGGGUAAGAAUGGAAAGACAGCUGCCAAGAGGAACAGAGAGCUUCUCAAAUCCCCCCCAGCCGGUCUCCUCCCCACAGCACCAGCCCGGCUUUGACAAAACCCGCCCUUCCGGUAGUAGUCCCUCCACCUUGGCUGGAAAUCACUGUGUGCAGAGUGAAGACAGAGGCCAUCUUCUAGUGUGACCAUGGACAGGUUACUUAGCGCUCUGUACCUCACAUUCCUCUUUUUUUCAGAUGGUGAUGGUGGUAAGUAUGUGGUAGGGUCUUAUUCACAGAUCACAUGCUCCUGGCACUUAGUAGGUGCUGAGUGUGAGAAUGACUCCCCUGGGGGAUGCCGAAUUGUGAGCUCUUCCCAGGUCAUCCUGGGAAGGAUGCUCUCAAGAACGCUCUGCAAUUGAGGAUGUACGGGAGGCCCCUAGGUCAAGGCUGACAGGAGAGGCCUCUCAAGGGCCCGACCAACAUGCUGUGUUUCUCCUUCUGAGGCUGAAGAGGCAGACUCUCUCCAGACUGGAGAGUCUCGCCAGCGUCUCAGACUUCUGAUUCCCCUGGCUUCAUAUCCACCUUUCUGUGGUCUUCUCCAUCCUUGUUAAUGACAACGCCAACUCUUCAGUCGCUCAGCCUUGGAGUCAGUUAACCUUGGUCUCCCCAUCACUCACCUAUCCUAUCCAGACCAUCAGCAAACCAUACCCAGAAUAUCAUGCCCUCUCACCACCCCAAAGCCCCUACCUGGGUCCCAGCCGCCAUCAUUUCUUGCCUGCAUUAGUACGACAGCCCUUGACGGGUCUCUGCGUCUGCCUUUGCCCCUCUACAAUCUGUUUUCACAGCAACAGCCAGAGUCACCCUUGGAAAUCAAGCUGGGGCACAUGACCUUUCUGCUCCAAACCCCCCCCCCCCCCCGCAGGCUUCCCAUCCUGUUCAGAGUAAAAGCCACGGGCCUUGCAAUGGUCUGGGAGGCCCAUGGGAACCAGCCCCACUACCCUGACCAUGCCCUCGUUCCUUCUGUCCUGUUCAUCCCACCUGCCAUCCUGCCCCUGCCCUCUUGCAGACACUCGAGCUCCCCUCAACAGCUUGCUCUUGCUGGACUCCCCCAUCACCGCUCACUCCCUUAGCUCUUCCGGGCCUUUGUUCUGGCCUUACCACCUCAGCCAGGCCUCCCCCGGCCCCUAUUUCACUUUCACCCUUGUACCCCCCGCCCCCACCACCACUCUGCAACUCUCUUUCUUCUCUUUCCUGCCUUUGUUUUUCUCCGUUGUUCUUGGCACCUGUACCGUGCCUCACGGUUGUGUGAGUUGAUCCAUUAGUGCCCCUUAUCUCGCUGGAGAUUCAAUUCCAGGGGGGCAGGAAUUUCUGUCUUAGCCCCCGCUGAGAACCCCACCUGUGACAUGGUAGCACUCUGUAAAUAUUUGUGGAAUGAAUGAAUGGCCUUAGACCAAAGACAGCCGGCACAGAAAAUAAACCUCUAUUUCAAGCAAAA
This is a long non-coding RNA of Herpailurus yagouaroundi (jaguarundi), 7273 nucleotides long. RefSeq lists it as uncharacterized. The record is from RefSeq and is a predicted model, not a curated record. The transcript is spliced from 9 exons. Lineage: Eukaryota; Metazoa; Chordata; Mammalia; Carnivora; Felidae.